UCUACUCUGGGGGUUAAUUUCACUCUUUUGACUCUUUUUCUACUCAAGUUUUCUGAGCAUUUUAUAUGUGUUAGAGUCUUAAGUCUCGGCAAGUGCAUUUUUCUCUUUUGUUUUUCUUUUCUCUUUUUUCUCUCUCUUUUUUUAAAAGAAAAUACAUACUAUUUUUCUUUUUGUAUGAUCUCUUAUUAUGCACUUGCCUUCUCUUU
This 206-nucleotide long non-coding RNA is filed under the name Lathyrus oleraceus (garden pea). RNAcentral's name for it is "Pisum sativum (pea) long non-coding RNA (PSAT_LNC002402)". The record is from RNAcentral. Lineage: Eukaryota; Viridiplantae; Streptophyta; Magnoliopsida; Fabales; Fabaceae.